UACGGAGGAUCCGAGCGUUAUCCGGAUUCAUUGGGUUUAAAGGGUGCGUAGGUUGUUUUAUAAGUUAGCGGUGAAAUACCGAUGCUCAACAUCGGGGCUGCCGCUGAUACUGUAGGACUAGAGAUCGGAUGCAGCAGGCGGAAUGUGUAGUGUAGCGGUGAAAUGCAUAGAUAUUACACAGAACACCGAUUGCGGAGGCAGCUUGCUAGGCCGGAUCUGACACUGAUGCACGAAAGCGUGGGGAUCGAACAGG
RNAcentral lists this ribosomal RNA (253 nucleotides) under uncultured bacterium. RNAcentral describes it as "partial 16S ribosomal RNA". It matches the Rfam family "Bacterial small subunit ribosomal RNA", at positions 524 to 776 of the family's 1533-position model. The record is from RNAcentral.